Molecule: long non-coding RNA, 1190 nt
Organism: Anthonomus grandis grandis
Lineage: Eukaryota; Metazoa; Arthropoda; Insecta; Coleoptera; Curculionidae
Exons: 3
Source: RefSeq, a predicted model, not a curated record
UAGAAUCACUUUCAAGCCGACCCUAUUCCCUUUAUCACUUCUUAAAAACGUUGGUUUUUGCACAAUGGGGCUUAAUGGUCUAAUAUGAGAAUUCGUUGAUUUUCAAAUCUGCUACAAAAAUCUGCUGUGUUUAUCUUUAUAACCAUUUAUCGCUGUUUUUGUAGUAUAUAACACACAGACACUGGCUGGGAGAUGUUACUAAGACUUAGUAAGUUCUUAAUAAUAGCUACAUUCACUUUCCUUUUCGGAAUUUCACUUAAAAACUCAAAUUUAAAAGAGGAAUUCAAACGAUUCCCAUUAAGUCCCAUGAGAACUGAAAUGAAAAUGGAUCUGAAAACCAUGUUGCCGAUGUUCUUAUUUCGCGGCUUGAGUAAAGUCGGCUGUGCCAGGGCCUUGACAGCUUGGCCGAUUUACGGAACACUAAAAAGCUUCUACUCCUCGAAAUUUAGAUGGCGCUAAGAAUGCAAAACUAGUUAAGCCACCGCUUUUACCGAUGCUGCACGGACUGUCAAGCAUUAAAUUGUGUCAUAUAAAAUGCGGUCAUUUUUAAUUCUUUAACUUGCACAGGCUUUCUUUUUUACAUUACAUUACAAGACCCCGAGAUAAAAACAGUAAAAACUUUGAAUCGAAUAUAGAUAUUGGCGACAGUCAGAAAUGGAUUCUGAAGAAGCUGUUGUGUUAAAUCUGUGGACAGCAAAAGACAUAGAUUGGCUAGUUUUUUAACAGUUUUAUAUUUGGGUUCAGAUUCUUAGGCUUUAAAACCAUGAAAAUCUCAGUACUGAACAAAUAUAUGAAUGGGAAAAUUAUUUUACUCCACAUUCAUUCAAGCCCAAUUCAAGCAGGGGCUUUAAACCAGAUGCCAUACCUUCAGUUAAUCUCCCAGGCUUAAUACAAAAUCACGAUUAUAAAGAACAGACUACUUUUGAUCACAUGGAACAGCAGCCGCCAACAGAAUAUGCUGAUGGAUUAAAAGUUAAAAACUUAAAAAAGCACCUACGUCUUUAGUAAUAUCAUAGGAUCGUAGGCAGACAAUAUGGCAAAAUGGGACAUUGGAUUCAAAAUUAAGUGGAGCUUAAUAUGGAGCAGAAUUCAUCUUGUUUCCGUAUAUUUUUUUAAGAGCGUCACUGCGUCAAUGUCAAAAUUGACUUAGAAUGUGAUGCUAAACCUGAAAGAAGAGAAAUUUCAGCAGA